UACGGAGGGGGCUAGCGUUGUUCGGAAUUACUGGGCGUAAAGCGCACGUAGGCGGCUUUGUAAGUUAGAGGUGAAAGCCCAGGGCUCAACCCUGGAAUUGCCUUUAAGACUGCAUCGCUUGAACAUCGGAGAGGUAAGUGGAAUUCCGAGUGUAGAGGUGAAAUUCGUAGAUAUUUGGAAGAACACCAGUGGCGAAGGCGACUUACUGGACGAUUGUUGACGCUGAGGUGCGAAAGCGUGGGGAGCAAACAGG
This 253-nucleotide ribosomal RNA is filed under the name uncultured bacterium. Its description in RNAcentral is "partial 16S ribosomal RNA". It matches the Rfam family "Bacterial small subunit ribosomal RNA", at positions 524 to 776 of the family's 1533-position model. The record is from RNAcentral.